Molecule: RNA transcript, 2546 nt
Organism: Condylostylus longicornis
Lineage: Eukaryota; Metazoa; Arthropoda; Insecta; Diptera; Dolichopodidae
Exons: 6
Source: RefSeq, a predicted model, not a curated record
CAGUUUCAUUUCUAAAAUUCAAACGUGAAAAGCGCAAAAAGAACGGUUCGCGAAAAUCAUUUUUAAUUAUUUUUUUUCUUUUUUUUUUUAAUUACGUAUAACGUUAUAAAGUAUAUUGAAAAUGUAUUAUAAUAACAGUGACUUGAAAUCUAAUAUUCAAAUGUUAUUUAUUACAUUUAAACUAUAUAGUAAAAUUGAAAAUACAAUGUUAAAAUAUCACAAUUUUUAAUAUUCAAAAAUGCAAAAUAUUUCGAUUUAAAGCGAAAAAUCAAAAAAUUUUAAAGAAAAAAAUAUGAAAUGUUUGGCAUUCUGCCAAAAAUCAAAUACAUAUUCUAAUAUUUGAAAAGGAAAUUUUAUUAUUUCAAAUACUAAUCAUAAAUAAAUAGUUUAAAGUUAUUUAAAAUUAAAUUUAAUUUGAACCAAAAAUUUACACAUAAAAAAAAGAGUUAAAAAAAUAUUUAAAUAAAAAUAUUUUAGAGUGAUCAUUUAAACUUAAAUUAUUAUUAAAUUUGAAAUUUUUGAAAACAAAAUCACAAUAGAGAAAUUCGCCUAAAUUUAUAAAAACAUCAAAACUUAAAAUACUCACAUUUAUUAAUUACAAUAAGCUGAUAUAGCAAAAAUAAAAAAAAUAAAAAAAAACGGAAGAAAAACAAAUAAAAAGGCACAAAAAUGGCUAAAAAAAGUCCUGUACGUUCAUUAAGUGAUAGUUCUCUAGCAGAACUAGCAAAUUUAGUUGUCUCAGCUAUUGGUUUUUCUUUACAUAGUAUCGCUGAUAAUGAUUAUGUAACAAUAACAAUGGUUGAAGUCAAUUCAUAUUUAUCAGAUGCUGGUGCAACAAGUGAUAUUUAUCAAGAUCUUUUGCGUGUUAUUUUAGCAUCAGAUUAUUUAGAAGCAUCAAUGCGUUUUACAUGUUUACAAAUGUUAUUAAAUGGUGGUGUUAAUACAUUAAUAACAGAUAUAUUUCCAUUUUCAUAUUAUGAAAAAAUUUUACAAGUAAUUGCUGCUCAAGGUGCUGGUCUUAGAAUAUUAAAUUUAAAAGGUGUAUGGGUUAAAGAAGAGCAUAUGCAUUAUAUGAUGGAAAUAAUUAAAAAAUGUCCCCAUUUAACAAAAUUAUAUAUACCAUAUAUUGCGAACGACGAACUGUUAGAAUGUAUUGCAAAAUCCAGCUCAAAAUUACGUUUAAUUGAUAUCAGUGGAGAAACAGACAUUACGGAAAAUGGUGUUGAAUAUUUAAGCAAAGGUUUAUCUAGCGCAAAAUUAACUGUUGUAGAUAUUGGUAUGCCUGGAGAAGAAAAUAUUUGCCACUCAGAUGUUGCAAUGCUAUUAGAACGAUGUCCUAAUUUGGAAACUCUAGGCACAUAUUCAUUUGUUGGGCAGGCAUUAAAGUUUGUUUAUGAUAAUGUUGAUUCAAAUUUUAAAUCAAAAUUGAAAUAUUUACACGAUACACAUACUGAUGGUGAACAAUUAGAGAUAAUUGUUACAACAUGCCCAAAUUUAGAAACAUUAUAUUUGGAUACACCAAAAGAAGGAAUAUUAAGUAGACUGAAAUAUACAAAAUUGAGAAAAUUGAAAAUAUAUAAAUUUCAAUGUGAUGAACUAUUGCAAUUAUUAGAAAAUAUUGGCAAAAAUUUAUCUCAUUUAACUGUGAUUAAAGGACGUGGUACCAUGGAAUUGGGUAAAUUAGCUAGAUUAUGUCCAUCAUUAAUUGAUUUAGAUUUUUAUAUGAUGGAUCAAUUAACAUAUAAUAUUCCAAUAAAAUUUGAUAGCUUACAUGGUUUAGAAAUGUUAAAUAGUCCAUUAUCAAUGGUAUCAUUAAAGCAUUUUAUCUGUAAUAACACAUCGUUAAGAAGACUAGCAGUUGAUUCAGUCAUAUUUGGUGAUGAAGAUUUAGAAAGUAUUUUCGUGCCAUAUAAUUUUAAAUUUUUAGAAGACAUUUGGUUUACUUCAGCACCAAAUUUAACUGUUGCAUCUAUUGAACUUUUGAUAGAUCGUUGUCCAGAAUUACAAUCUAUCGGUCAAAUUAGUGGUUGGGCAUUGACGCCAGAUGAUUUAGCUUUAGUUCGGGGAAUACUUAAAAGUGGAAAUUCAUCUCUUGUACUAUCCCCAACAACUUUAUUUACAUAAAAUCUAAAAUAAAAAAAAUAUAUAAUAAUAUAUAAUAUAUAUAACAUACAUAGACAAAAUGAUAAAUCUCAAAACAAAAAAUAUAUCUGUCAACAAACAAUCGUGAUAUACUUCUAAUACCAUCAGAUGACACCAAUGAUACAUGAUAUUUUCUCAGGUCAAUAAACAUUUAAUUAAAUAAAUAAUUACCUUCUCAAAACUAAAAAGAAAAGAAAAAAAAAUUAAUAAGACAUUGUUACAAAAUACUCAAAUAUAUAACAAGUAACAACACUCUUGUAAAAAUUAAUAUACAUAUUAUGUAUUAUUUUUUAAAUUUUAUUUUAUACAAUUUCAAAAAGAAAAUGAACAUAUAAAAAUGGAAAACUUGAAUGUGUCGUUUUAUGUAUGCAAAGAAAUACAUACUGUUAAUGUUGAUAGAUGUA